Molecule: transfer RNA, 87 nt
Filed under: Phycisphaerae bacterium
Lineage: Bacteria; Pseudomonadati; Planctomycetota; Phycisphaerae
Description: tRNA-Ser
Rfam family: tRNA
About the family: Transfer RNA (tRNA) molecules are approximately 80 nucleotides in length.
Source: RNAcentral
GGAGAGAUGUCCGAGUGGCUGAAGGAGCUGGUUUCGAAAACCAGUGUACGGGCAACUGUACCGGGGGUUCGAAUCCCCCUCUCUCCG